This 14585-nucleotide long non-coding RNA is filed under the name Gossypium barbadense (sea-island cotton). Its description in RNAcentral is "long non-coding RNA (GBAR_LNC008976)". The record is from RNAcentral. Lineage: Eukaryota; Viridiplantae; Streptophyta; Magnoliopsida; Malvales; Malvaceae.
UUUAAUCUAGAUGCAAUUUACCUAAAUGUAUGAAUGAAUGGCUUUAGCGACGAAAACAAUCAACAUUAAAUGGCCUAGGAUAAUUAUAUUAAUCAAUUCAAUUUACUUUAUCAUGCUUAACAAUGUUCAGAAAUACUUCCACGGAAACUUGAUCUUUCAUGAGUUUGAAAACUAAAUUAAGUCCUUUCAGAGUCUUUUACUUAGUUAAAUAUGAAUUUUAUUGAUCAUAUUAACUAAGGGUUUCUUAGCAUUUAUGUAAGGUCACGAAGAUGAAACAGUUUAAUUACAUAAACCUAAAAAAUAUGCAAGAUAAUAGAGCUAACUAAAGAUAUUAUGAACCUCAACUUAGUCGGGUUUAAUGAUCUAAAUUGAGUAUUGCACUUUUCAAUUAUGUAUCUACUAGCCAUCAUCUAGUUAGGAUCGCUCAACUAAUCUGAGUGCACCCAAUCAUGUAUGAAUGAAAUGCAUCAUGAUAUUAAUUGAAAACAUAAUAGACUGAGGCCUAAACAUAUUAAACAUGAAUAAAAUAGAUCUUAUUGAAUUAACAUAAUCAUCCUAGCAAAUAGGAUUUAAAAUAUCAUUGUUGAUGUCAAACAUAAUAAACUCAAAGCAAACAUGAUUAAAAUAAAUAACAAGAGGAAAGAGUAAACUCUAUUCAGUUCAGCAGCCAUUCAGAUCUAUUCUGACUAAUGUGCUCCUCUAUUCUACUCGAUGCUCUUUUGCUAAGGAGUUUCUAAGGUGGUCGGCCAAGGAAUACUUUUAACAAAGCUUUUGUGGCUAAAGGAUGGAAAGGAGAUGGGCAGCUAUGCAAAGGAAAGGAAAAGGGAAAUGAAAUGUAGAGAAAAUGCUAAUGAGAGAAGUGAAAUGCGUUUUAAGGGAUAAGGGAUGCUUUGAAAAGUGAUAGGUGCAUGGUAUUUAUAUGUGAAGGUAAGGGGUAGAGUUAGCUAAAAAUAGAUUUCAAAUCCCUUCCUUUUCUAUCACACAUGGCCAACCACAUUUCAAAGAAAAAGGGAUGAUUUGGUCUCCUCAUUUUGGAUUCAAACUAAGGCUAUUCAUAGUCAUAGGGUCGACGGUUUCAACAGUGAAGUAGUUGGGCUAAUUUCUAAUUAUUUUCCAUCUAUAAGGACCUUCAAUUGAAUACCCCAAAGCUUGUUUUUGGGCUUCCAUCUACUUGUGUCGAAACUAGGCUUUAGUUCUCCUUUGUUGGAUGGUUUCUCAGUCCAAUAAUGUAGCAGACAUGUCCAUCUUUUAGCACCACUUUUAUUGGGUCAAAUUACCAACCUCAUGACCCAAAUUGCAUUGUCUUGUCAUCUACAUGAAUUAGAAACAAAAACAAUCAACAUUAAAUGGGAUAGGAUAAUUAUAUUAAUCAAAUCAACUUACAUUCAUCGUGCUAACAUGUUUGGAAUUACUUCCAUGGCAACUCGAUCCCUUAUGGGUUUAGAAACCAAAUUAAGUCCUCACAGAUCUUUUACUUAGUUAAAUAUGCAUGUUAUUAAACACAUUAGGCUAAGGGUUUCUUAGCAUUUAUGCAAGGUCACAGAUACAUUUACGUUUACAACAAUUUAAUUACAUAAAACUAAAAACCAUGCAAGAUAAUAGAGCUAACUAAAGAUAUAAUGAGCCUUAACUUAGUCUGUUUUAAUGACCUAAAUUAAGCAUUGCACUUUUCAAUUAUGCAUCUACUAGCCGUCGUCUAGGUAUGAUCGCUCAGCUAAUCUAAGUGCACCUAAUCACGUAUGAAUUAAAUGUAUCAUGAUAUUAAUGGAAAACAUAAAUUAAAUAAAUCUCAUUAACUUAAUAUAAUUAUCCCUGCAAAUAGGAUUUAAAAAUUCAUAGUUGAUGUAAAAAGCAUAAAACUCAAAUCAAACAUGUCAAAACAGAUAAUCAUGAAGAAAGAGUAGACUCAGUUCAGCAGCCUUUCAAAUCUGCUCUGACUGAUGUGCUCAACUUUACUCAGUUCAGCAGCCUUUCGAAUCUAUUCUAUCUAUUCUAGUUGAAGCGCUCCUCCGUUCUGAUUGAAACUUCUUUUGCUAAGGGUUUAAAAGAUAGCCAGCUAAAGAGUGCUUUUGACAAAGCUUUUGAGCCUAAAGAAGGGAGAGGGGAUGGAGGCUAUGCAAGGGAAAAAGAAUUGAGAGAAAACCAGAGUGAGUGAGAGAGGAAUGUUGAGAAAUGAGGGAUGAUGGAAAAGUGAGGAAUGGAAAGGUAUUUAUAGGUAAAGUAAGGGUUUGAGUUUACUAAAAAUAGGUUUAAAUUUUCUUCCUUCCCUCUCUCAUGUGGUCACCCAUGCUUCAAGGAAAAGGGAUGACCAAGUCUUCUCAAUUUGAAUUUGAAUUUCAAGCUAAAAAUAGCUAUAGAGUGGACGGUUUCAAUAGGGAAGUUGUUGGGCUGAAUUCUGAUUAUCUUCCAACUGCAGAAACCUUCAAUUAAAUAUCCCAAAACACAUUUUUGGCAACCAACAUCAAGUUUCAAAAUUGGGCUUUUAAUUCUCUUUGUUGGAUGGUUUUUUCAGUCUAAUAACUUAGCAGACAUGUCCAUCUUUUAUCACCUUCUUUACUGGGUCAAGUAGUCAACCCCAUGCCCAAAAUUACAUGGUCUUGCCAUCCACAUGGAUAAUUUGUGCAUGGCCAUCUUUUAUUUAUUUAAAUCAUGUCUCCAAUAGACCUCCUACAUAGUGAAAAGUACAUACAUUAAUAAAUUAAGAUAAAUUAAUACAAAAUAUGCAUGAAAAUCAUGUACUUAAGCAUAAUUUCACAUACUUUCUAAGUUCAUGUCUAAAAUUACUAAUUAAGUAAAAUUCACUUAUUUCAAUAAUAAUUACUCGAGAUAAACAUAAUAAUUAAGUAAAAAGAUGGUAAAAACAUAUAGAAAAAAACCUAUAUAAUUUUGAGUUUACAAUAUUCUAUCAAUUGAUUAAAGGUGAAAAUCCAAAGCAAAUCCCUUUGAAUCAUACUUAUUUUUGGAUUCAGAUUCAUAAUUUGUCGUAUGGAGCUAUAUCAGAGGGAUUGGCAAGAACAUUGGGGGAGUUCAUUGGACAGUUCAUACAGUAUGAUGCUGUAUUAAUUUCUAAAGGGGAACGAAGAUAUAUGAGAUUUCGCGUAAAAUUCGAAGUAAGAUUAGCGCUGAAAAGGAAGAAAAAACUAUCAUUGGGACAAAGAAAGAAAGGAUAUGCAUGCUUUCAAUACGAGAGGCUCUUAUUAUUUUGUUUACUAUAUAGAAAAUUGGGGCAUGAGGAAGGGAUUUUCCCAGUAAGAAAGACAAUCGAUACUCAAGAGGUCAAAUUUGGAUGGGAUCUAUCCCUAAAAACACCUACGAGGAACGAGUUACUUGUCGAAAGCAAAUGGCUAAGAGAAAAAUGGCCAGGCAGGUUCCAGGGAAGGAAUAACUUCAUUGGCAUAAAAAUUUAUAGAAGGAAAAAAUGAAGGUUAGACAAAUAUGUAACAUCUCAAGGAAACCGGGUUAUAAAACAAAGGAAAACCAUGCAGGAGAAUACAACAAUCGAUAUUUGUGAAGGAAAGAAAUGUCAACGAACAAGACAUGAAAACUACAAUAAAAGGGAGGAUUUGAAAGCUAUGAUUCAAUCUAUUAAUAUAUCAACGACCACUAGUAAGCGUGCUAAUCGAGUGUAAUAAAAAAUCUUAAGUUGGAAUGUUCGUGGAUUAGGGCAUCCACGAGCGAUUAAUCGCCUCCGGAACAAGGUGAGGUAUGUAUAGCCCCAAAUUUUGUUUCUAAUAGAAACAAAUUUAAGUGAUAAAAGAAUGGAUAAAGUUUGUGUAAGAUGUGGGUUUCACAAUGAAAUAGAUGUUGGUGCGCAAUGAACCAAAUGAAAAUUAUCUGUUGGAUGGAAAAUGGAGCAUGAAGUGCAACUGAGAAAUUAUUCAAUCAAUCAUAUCGACGUGAUAGUUAAAGAGAAUGAGGGAAUGUUGUUAUGGAGACUCAUAGGGUUUUACAGUGUGCUAGAAAAAUAGAAUAGAAGGGGAGCUUGGAGCCACUUAAGGAGAUUGGGGAAUUAUCAAGGUUUGUCAUGGAUAGUCAUUAGAGAUUUCAACAAAAUUAUGUUAUCUUUUGAGAAGAUGGAUGGUAGGUUAAGAAGUGAUAGAAACAUGGCCCGAUUCUGUAAGACAUUGGAAGAAUGUACUCUUAAUGACCUAGGUUUUUUCGAAAAAUGGUACACUUGGGAAAAAGGCAAGUUGCUAGAAAAUAAUGUGCGCGAAAGACUCGAUAGUGGUGUGGCAAAUCAGGCAUGGUAGGAAUCUUUUCCAGGGUACUCUCUAAAACACUUAACGCACUCUAUUUCCGAUCAUUGCCCAUUAUUAGUUAAUAUGGUGAUUGAAGAUAAUAGGAUUCGUAUGGAGCGGAGCUUUCAGUUCAAUGCAAAUUGGAUCUUAGAAGAAGAAUGUGAACAAUGAAUAAAAUCCCUUUGGGAGGGGAAUUCAAAGGAGGUGUCUACAAAACUCCAAAUACUAAGAGAAGCACUAGAUGUGAAAAUGGGGAGACUCAUGACUAGUAAAAAAAAAGAAACCCACUUUUUGACUAAAAGAUUAGUUGAAUUGAGUUCAAUGGAUUCAGAUGACGAAAUGCUUACAGAGUUGGAAGAAGUCAAAUUGGCUUUAAACUUAGAAGCUGAUAAAGAAGAACUAUUCAAUGAGCAAUGAGCAAGAGCGAAUUGGAUCAAAUUUGGAGAUAGAAAUACAUCAUUUUUUUCAUAAUUUAGCAAAUUAGCGAAAUAAAGGAAUAGGGUAAGAAAGCUAAGAGGACCAAAUAGGUAGUGGCUUGUAACCAAAGAAGAGAAAUUAAAGAUCGCAAUAAAUUACUUCAAAGAGCAUUUUAAGGAAUCAAAUACAAGGAAUGAUGAAAGGAUGUUACCAGGGUUUACCAAUUGUAUUAACAAAAAUAUGAACAGGGCGUUAACAAAGGAACUUCGAAUUGAAGAAAUCAUAAUAACAAUAAACAAUAUAGCACAUUUGAAGGCUUCUGGAGUGAACAGCUACCCCCACUUUGUUUUACCAAAAGUACUGACAUAUUGUGGAAGAAGAAACAGCGAGUUUCUGCUUGGACAUAUUAAACAGGAGGAAGGAGUUCGAUGAUAUCAACAGUACAAGUACUGUACUUAUUCCAAAAGUCAAUCAACUAAAUAGUAUGACACAAUUCAAACCAGUCAGCUUAUGGAACGUGGUGUAUAAAAUUAUUUAUGAAGUUAUGGUUAAUGGAUUCAAAUCAGUAUUAGACAUUUUCAUUGACAAAGCACAAGCAGCCUUUGUUCCAGGGAGAUGGAUCACAGAUAAUGCAAUAAUCGCUUAUGAAAUACUACAACAGAGGAUGAUGAAGAGAAGACAAAAUAAAUGAACAUUGAAUCUAACCAGGAAAAAGAAGAAGUGAACCAUAUUCCUGCACUAACUGAACCUGCUACUACACCUCAAUCAACUGUGCCCAUAUUGAAGCAAGAUCAUGAGAUUAAUCAACUGAUUGAUGAUCUCACUAAAUUAGAUGAUAAUGAUGAAGAAGAGGUUCCAAUGAAAAGGAAGCAGCAUUACAAGUGCGUUGCUCGAAAAACAACUCUCCCUAAUUAAAAUAAUAUUAAAAUUUUCCCAAGCUUUCAUCUUUAUUUUCAUUUGCAUAUUUUUCAUUAUAUGCCAUGUGUUUUUCAUGCAUUCAUAAUUGUUGUCAUUGCAUUUUACAUAUAUAUAUUUAUGUAUAUGUUUGUUUUCGCAUUCUGGAAUUUUAAAUUGUUCAUGCAUUGAGGACAAUACAUCCCUUAGGUUUGGGGGUAUGUUGUGUUGUGCAUAUAGUCUCAUUAGAAAUGUGUUUUAAUAUUUGUUCAUUUUGUCAUUUAUUUUACCAUGACAUACAAAUGCCAAAUAACUGUCAGACUAUGACAAGUAUAUUGUUAUCUAUGAUGUUCGAUAAGGAUAAUAACUCUUUAAUAAAUUUAGAAAAUUGUGAUAGUUGAUUAGGUAUGUUUAACUUAGUUGUUUGAAAAUUGAUCCCUAAAUCCCUAAAAUUGAUCCCUAAUUAUAAUUACAAUUAGUCUAUAGUAGGUUUCUUUUAAUACAUAUAGAAAUUCUUGAGCCUAAGAUAAGCAAUGUGUAAUAAGAAAUACCACGGCAAAGCUGAGGGUAAAUCAAUAAGAAAAUUAAAAAGACACUAUGAAGCACUCCAGUGUUUGAGAUUUUUGAGUAGGUCACUAACACUCUGUUUGCUCCAUUAUAUUAUUGAUUAAAAAAGAAAGAUCAAAUAAGAGUGAGUAAAAAAAAAAAAAGAAAAAAAGAGAGAACAGUUUAGAGGCACUCCACUGUAGUAGUAGUAGACUGAGUAGCUAAGGGGGUAGUUGUUUGCUCCUUCUAUCUUUUUAGUCAAAAGCCUUAGCUUCAUGAGUGAAUUACAUUCAAAUUGUAGCAUGAUGUAAUAUCUGAAAAUCUAGUGUAUGUUCCAUUAAGAUUGUCAAGUAAAGAAAUCAUGUGACAAAAUGAAUUCCCUAGGAAAAAAUAUAAUUAAAGUAGGCAAUGACAAGAUAAUUAUGAGAAGAGACACUGAGUUUUAGGAGAAACAUAAAAUAUGUAUAUUAGAGAAUGCUUGCUAUAGUCAGCACUAUGUGAAUAUUUAGUAAAUUUUAAUUUUAGGUAACACUUUCUGCACUUCGUAUGCUAUUUCUGAGAUAGAAGACUGCUAGAAUGGAGGUAUAAAAGAAGACUUCUAGAAUGGAGGUAUAAAAUAUACUUCAGAAAGUUUAGUAGCAUAUGAGGUAAUUAUAGUGUUAUAGAAAAUUCAUGCAUACUUACACAUAUUCUACUUGAGGACAAGUAAGAAUUCAGGUUUGGGGGUGUGAUAACUCUUGAAAAAAGUUAUAUUUCUAGCAUCUAAACUUGAUUAAAUGUAUGUACUUAAAUAGAUAUAUUUUCAUUUUUAGGUUAAUUUUAGAACAUUGCAUAAUAACACUUAGAUUAUGUCUUGAAUGUAAUUUUAUGUUAGUUUUCCUGUUGGGAGAAAGAGAACUGGUUGUUGUAUGCAGCAGGUGCAGAAAAGAUAAAGAAAAUGAGAAAAAGAAUAAAAGAAGUGAAAUAUUGCCAUGGCUAAAGGUUGGAUGGAUUGCCAACAUAAAUGCCAUGGCAAUUCCAGGAUAAUGCUGAGAAAUCUUGAAAAGAGUUAUAUUUCUAGCCUCUAAACUUGAUUAAAUGUACAUACUUAAGUAGAUAUAUUUGCAUUUUUAGGUUAAUUUUAGAACAUUGCAUAAUAACACUUAGAUUGUGUCUUGAAUGUAAUUUUAUGUUAUUUUUCCUAUUGGGAGAAAGAGAAUUGGUUGUUGUAUGCAAUAAGUGCAGAAAAGAUGAAGAAAAUGAGAAAGAGAAUAAAGGAAGUGAAAUAUUGCCACAGCAAAAGGUUGGAUGGAUUGUCAACAUAAAUGCCAAGGCAAUUCCAGGAUAAUGCUGAUAACUCUUGAAAAAAGUUAUAUUUAUAGCCUCUAAACUUGAUUAAAUGUAUGUACUUAAGUAGAUAUAUUUGCAUUUUUAAGUUACUUUUAGAACAUUGCAUGAUAACACUUAGAUUUUAUCUUAAAUGUAAUUUUUAUGUUAUUUUUCUUGUUCGGAGAAAGAGAAUUGGUUGUUGUAUUGUAACAGCUCGAUUUUGGGCCUAGUCGGAAUAAUGGUUUUGAGACCACAAAUUCGAUAUAAUAAAAUUUAUUUUUAUUAUAUUUUUAUGGUUUACGAUUUCAUGAAAUGAUUUCAUGAAAAUUUCAUUUAAAAAUUUUGACGUUCGGGAACUCAAUUUAGUCAAAAAGACUAAAUUGUAAAAAUUACAAAACUUGAGUUCUACAUGUUAGAGGUGUCCAAUUGUUAUGAAAUUUUGAAUUGGAGGUCCUUAAAUGGAAAUUAGACCAUUGGUUAAUUUUUUGGACAAAAAUAGACAUGGUUAGGCAUGUUUCCAAAUUUUUCAUUAAAGCCAUUUUGGUCAUUUAGUUAUUAAAAUGAAUUAAAAGCAAAUUUAAAAACCAAUUUUUUUCCAUCUUCAACCCCUUGGCCAAAACUUGCAUGGAGAAAUCAUGGCUAGGGUUUUUUCAACUUUCCAAGCUCCAUAGUAAGUCCGGUCUUGCCCCGUUUUUAAUGAUUUUCACGUUUUUGAAAUCCUCAUAAUAAAAUUUAUCUAUUUCUACCCUUGAUUGGAAGUAGGGUUCAUGUUUAAAAAUUUACCCAUGUGUGACAUAUGUGUAUUUUGAUGUUUGAUGGAAUAUGAAAGUUUGUUGUGUGUUAAAUGACUUUUACUAAGUAGUUUUCGGUAAAAAUGCCUAAAAUGACUAAUUUGUAAAAGUUAUAAAAUUUGUCAUAAAAAGGUGAUUUAGUGGAAAUUAUGGCUGCUAUAGUUAUGAAAAUGAUUCUACUAGGCUUGUAUGUUAAAUAAAUUGAAUGAAAAUCAUUUUAUGAGCCUAGAGGAAAAAGUGUAAAUAUGACAAAAUUUAGGGGUAAAAAUGUAAUUUUUUCUAAAUAUGAUUUUUGGGCUGAGUUGAUUAUUAUAAUGAUUAAAUAAGUUAAAUGUGAUAUUUUAGAUCAAGAAAAACAAGGUUCGAUCUAGAUUGAGGAAAAAUAAGUAAUUGACGAAUAAUUCUUUUUUACCGAUUUUACUUUCAAGGUAAGUUUGUAUGUAAAUACUGCAUCAUUUUUACUUACGUUAUCACAUUUUAUUAUGUUUUAUGAAAUGUGGCUGAAUAUUGAAUGAAAUUGACAAGUAUCGAAAAGUAAAAAAUUUCCCGGUUGAACAUUAGGAAUAGAAUAGAAUACAAGUGACAUGUUACUAGUGACUCAGUGCGGUACCAUGUGAAGGCCACUUUGAGAAGAGAUAGCUUGGUCACAAGUGUGGUACUAUGUGAAGGCCACUUUAUGAAGAAAAAUAGCUUUGGUCACAAGUGUGGUACUAUGUGGAGGCCACUUUGUGAAGAAGGUAGCUUUGACUACAAUGGUGGUACUAUGUGCAGGCCACCGGGUAUCCGUUAUUAUUCUGAUGUAUUCAACAGGAAAUGACUAGGUUUAAUUGAAUAAGACUAUGUGAUGAAUAAUUGCAGUAUGUGUGUGUAAACUUAUGAGCAAUGUGCUCGAUAUGUGAUCGAACUUUGGUAAGAUUCAUAUGAAGUGAGUGUUACAAUGAAAGUUACUACAAAAAAAACAUGAAAGAGUGAAAUUUAGUUAAUAAAACAGUUUUGGAUAGCAGUAGUUGUGUGACUUUGAAAAAUCACCAAAAAUGGUGGAAAUAGAUUAGAGGUUGAAUAAGAUAUAAAAUUAAAGCUUAUUGAGUCUAUUUUCAUAUAAAGAAAAUGGUGUAAGCAAAAGAAUUUCAUAUCAUGAGAUAUUUGAAUUUUUGUGAGACAAGUCAGAAUGAUUUCGGAAUCCCCUGUUCUGAUUUGAGAAAAAAUAAUUAUGGGUUAUAAUUUAUAUGCUUAAAAUCCUUAAUGAGUCUAUUUUUAAAAGAAACAAAUGGGAAUAUCAUCCGAAUCACGUAUGAGGAGAUAAUUAAAUUUUUAGUUAAGAGGGGUCGAAACUGUCAGACAGCGAAACAAGGAUGAAUUUAAAGAAUAAAGUAUACUUAUUGGCCAAACCAAAAAUUCUGAAAAUUUUAUGGUAAUAAUAUAUGCGAGUCUAGUUUCUGGAAAAAUUAGCGGAUCUUAAUUUGGAGUUCCAUAGCUCCAGAUAUAAAUAAUUUAGUAACUGUGACUCGAAUAGACAACUUGUUUUGAACUUGAGUAAAUAGUGGAAUUAUAUGCAAUUAUGAUUGUAUUACCUUGAGAACAUAUUGUGAGAAUUGGUGAAAACAUGUUAAUAAAUUGCUUAUUAUUUUCAUACAGGCUUACUAAGCUAUAUAGCUUACCCCCUCCCUUUUCCUCAUUUUAUAGGGUCACUAAGCUAGCUUAGGUUGGAGAUCGUCGGAGAUUCUAUCACACUAUCAAGCUAUCAUUUGGGUAUAAGUGAAUACAAGUAUUUUAAGUCUAUGGCGUGUAUAGAGACUUAGUCAUUUGGUGUAUGAGUCAUUACGAUUUGGCUAAAUGUAUUAGCUUGUGAUGGCUAAAAGUUGGAUGUAAUUCGUAGCCAUGCAAAUUGGCUUAGAUUGGCUAAAUUGUUGUAAGCCCAUAUAAGUAUGUAUGUGCAUAUGUCAAUGUUUUGCUAUGUGGUUUAUAUUUGCUUAAUAUAUGAUGGUUACGAGUUUAUUCAUAUGUUAAUGCCCUUUGAGUGCAAACUUAGCAUGGAAUGAUUUGGCAAGGCCUAAUGUUAUAAUUCAUGAUAGUUAAUGGUAUGAAAAUGAUAAGGUAUUGCUUAAUUGUAGUUUUUUUUUAGGGCAUUUAUAUGCCAUGAUUUGUGCCAUGUAAUGUUGUGUGAAUAUGUGUAAGGGUGACAAAAUGGCUUGAAAAAUAGCCCUGUAUUUGUCUACACGGGUAGACACAUAGGUGUGUGUCUAGGUCGUGUUUGACACAUGGUCAGCCUCAUGGGCGUGUGAUCUAGCCAUGUAUCCCCUUCACCUUAAUUUAAGCAAAACAAAAUGUCCAUAAUUGAGCACACAGGCAGAGACACGAGCAUGUGCAUCAGUCGUGUGUGCUACACGGCCUAGCACACGAGUGUGUGACUUGGCCGUGUGACCUAAAUUUGAUGAUGACAUCAUAAACAUAAUGCACCCUAAGAUGGACAUGGCCUGAAGCACAGGCGUGUGAUAUGCCACACAGGCGUGUGGACCAAUUUCAUGAUGAAAAUUUCUAAAUUUCCCGAGAGUUUUUAAAGUUCUCGGUUUAGUCUCGAAUCAUUCCUAAUAUAUGUUUUGGGCCUCGUAGGCUCGUUUAAGGGACGAUAUGAAUGUUUACGAAAAGUUUUAAAUUUGAGUGAAAAUUCAUGUCUCGAUUUUGUAUGAAUGUUUAUGUUUAAGUCUGAUAAUGCCUCGUACCCUAUUCCGGCGUCGAAUACGGGUAAGGGGUGUUACAUGUAUACAGUAGGUGCAGAAAAGAUGAAGAAAAUAAGAAAGAGAAUAAAGGAAGUGAAAUAUUGCCAUGGCAAAAGGUUGGAUGGAUUGCCAACAUAAAUGUUAUGGCAAUUCCAGGAUAAUGCUGAUAACUCUUGAAAAGAGUUAUAUUUCUAGCCUCUAAACUUGAUUGAAUGUAUGUACUUAAGUAGAUAUAUUUGCAUCUUUAGGUUAAUUUUAGAACAUUGCAUAAUAACACUUAGAUUGUGUCUUGAAUGUAAUUUUAUGUUAUUUUUCCUGUUGAGAGAAAGAUAAUUGAUUGUUGUAUACAAUAGGUGCAACAAAUAUGAAGAAAAUGAGAAAGAGAAUGAAGGAAGUGAAAUAUUGCCAUUGCAAAAGGUUGGAUGGAUUGCCAACAUAAAUGCCAUGGCAAUUCCAGGAUAAUGCUGACGUAGCACUUAGUCCUCGUCCCUUUCAGCCAGCUGUCCAUGUACCAGAUAAAUCCACCUCAAAAGAGGGAGAAAGAGGGACCUACCCUAUAAAAGAGGAAAGAGAAAAUAAAAGACGAGAAGAUUUUUUAGAGAGAGGAAUUAGAAAAGAUUUAGGGAUUAGUUUUCUAUUCAAAAAAAUCUGGUGGAAAAUUCUAGAGAGAAAUAAAGGGUAGCAACUUAAGAUAGCAUAAUACAGACGCGAAGAAGGGGGAAAUAGUUAACCUGGAUUCACGUACAAUCUGAAGAUAAAAGAAAAAGCUGGAAUAUGGUGAGAAUUCUUGCAUUUCUGCCUUUAUUUUCCUUAUUUCUGUUAUUUAAACCUAUUUGAGAAUGUUAAUGAAUGAUUUUAUUUUUAUGUUAACUUUUCCACCCAUGAACUAAAUCUUUUCUGGGUUGGAGUUAUUCGAGCGAAUGUUUUAUCAUCUUUAAUGCCCAUGAGUUGAGAUUGUUUGUCACUGUUUCAUUCGAUUUAUGCUUAUUUUAAAUACAUGCAUGCAAGCUCUAGACAUAGUUGAUUGUGUGUUGUGUUCUUAGAUCUAUUUUUAAUUCUAAAAAGGUUAAAUAUACUGGAUCUUGAAUCGUUUCUUGCAAGCGAAUACUAGACAGAAUAUUCGUAGCACUCUAGACAUGGAUGUUGUGAGUUGUAUAGAGAAGAACAUUCAUGGUAGUUAUUAAUCCAGAGUUCUGUAGACAUACAGUAACUUAGAUUUCUAGCUUAAGAUCUAGCUAUCGAAAGAGGCAGGUUACAGUAGUGACUCUCUAAGUAGUUGAUUACACAAUAUUUUUUCAUGGCUUUAUUUUGAUAUGAACAUUUCACCUGAAUAAUUUCAACCCUAUUCAUUUAACAAUAGAAUUACUCUUGCUUUUCUCUAUAAUUUGCCACAGCAUUUAUUUGCCAUAUCAAUUCUUUGCUUUUAACAUUUCAUUUCACUAAUUCAUUAUACAAACAUCUUGAUCAACUUGAAAGUAUUUCCUACUAUUUAGUAUAAUCAAUAAGAUUAUAAUAACUUACUCAAUUUCCAAUUUUUUAUCCCCGUGGAGACGAUACUUACUUAUCACUUUAUUACUUAAAUGGCGUGUACAAUUGCACAAUUGCAUUAGUUAUUUACACACAACAUAUGUGCAAACCGAAAGCAAUGGGAGGUCUAGGUUUUAGAGAUUUGGCUAAGUUUAAUAUCGCAUUGCUUGCAAAAUAAGGAUAGAAGUUAACGAUGCAACCGGAUUUCUUUUUACUAGAAUAAUGAAAGGUAAAUACUACCCAAAUAGUGAAUUUUUAAAAGCAAGUUUAGGUUCUCACCCAUCUUAUACCUGGUGGAGCAUAUAGAGCGUAAGAAGACUCCUAGAUGAGGGUUUGGGUUGGAGGGUUGGUGAUGGAAAAUCCAUUAAUGUUUGGAAUGAGGCGUGGAUUCCAAGACCAGGGCCAGGAAGAAUCACAUGUCAGACCAUUGAUAUAAACUAUACAACAGUUGCUGAUUUAAUUAACAAUGAACAGUCUACCUGGAAAACGGAGGUCCUAGGAAAACUUUUUUACAAAGACCAAGUACACAGAAUCAUGACCAUUCUCGUUGCAGGAAUCGAUAUCAAGGAUGUCAGAGUAUGGAGAGGUGAUAACACAAGUAUGUACUUAGCUAAAAGUGGGUACAAAUAGCUAAAUAAAGAAGAUAUAGUGAUACUGCAAAGGACUAUAACCCUCCCCCAAUAGACCUAUAGACUCUCUACAACAGACUCUAGAACUUACAACUAGCAAGCAUGGUUAAAAUUACAUUCUGGAAAAUAGUAAACAAUUACAUGUCUAUAUUCAAUAAUUUACAGGCAAUAAAUCUGUUAGUAACGAAUAUCUGCCCACUAUGUCGAGUAAUGGAGGAAUUAGUGGCUCAUGUUUUCUGGGAAUGCAUGAUUUCAAAAGAUAUCCUACUAGGAGUGGGGAUUGAUACUUCUCCAAGCUCCCAAGGACAAUAAUGGAAAAUGUAGUUAGCAGAGAUUUUUACCAACAUGAAUGAAGAACAAAGAAAAUGCCUAACAAUAUCCUUCUGAGCGAUAUGGAAGACAAGAAAUAAGGUCCAUCAUCAAGGAGAAAAUUUGAACACAUUUGAGGUAAUAACAUUUAUUAAAGCAUAUCAGGAAGAAAGCAAUAUCAUUAAUACAGAAACUUCAACAUCUACUAGACAAAUCAACAUUAUGUGGGUUCCACUGAGAGCAGAUAUGAUAAAAUGCAAUUUUGAUGCAGCAUUUUGCAACAAUACAUUCAAAUCAGUGAUGGGAAUAUUGUCCAGGGACUGUGAAGAUAAUAUAUUGGUUGCAUGGACUCACCACAACACCUUUAUAGUAGAUGCCACCACGGUAGAGGCGAAAGAAUGUCUUUAGGCAGUUUCGGUGGCUGAGGAGCUGGGUUUUCGAAAUAUGAUAGUGGAAGGAGAUUCCUUGACAGUAAUCAAAAAAAUAUGGUAUUGCGGUGAUUAUUCAAGAAAUAAAAGAAAGAUGUCGGAGAUUCGAAAAUGUUACCUGCUCUUUCGCUGGAUGAACAGCAAACCAAACGGCGCACGUAAUGGCAGAGGAAGGGAAGAACUGGCCAGGAACAAAGGUAUGGAUUGAUGAGGGCCCUCAAAGGGUAGAGUUAGCGGCUAAAAGAGACAGAAAUUUUUUGAACAGGAUUUGAAAUGGGUUGGAAGAAAUGAAAAACGAAAGGUUUCGUCGGUUUCUUUUUUCUACAAGAACUUUCAUGGAGGACGCUAAAAGUACAGAUCAUUCCAGGGUGGAACGAUGGUGGUAGAUGAAAGAGUGAAUUGCCAAAAGAGAAACUACUGGGUUUUUUUUCUAGAAACUAGGAUGUAGUCAAUUUUUAGGGUUUGCUUCUUUUAUGUUGUUUAUUUGUUUCUUUUAAGACUGGACGAUUUAAGUCCUUUAAGAACUAAGUAGGGUACAACUUUUGCAUUAAUUAGGAUUAGCUCCAUCAAUUUUAAUGGCAUCCAUAUCUUAUUCUAAAAAAAAAAAAAAAAAGACAUGAUGACAUUCAAAAUAGAUACACAUUCUUUUCUGGUAAUCUUUUUUCACUUAUUUCUUUCUUGGUUUGUGUGUCAUUAUUUCAUUGAGUAAAAAAAUAUUUUAAAUAAAAGUCUACAAGUUUUAUUCGAAAAUCAAAAACAAGAAAUAAAAAUUGUAUUUUUC